GGGAACCUGGGAUGGGGUGGCAUGGGAGUGGCAGUGAUGAAAGGUGUUAGGGAGCUCCAGUAACCUGGCAGCCACCGCUGCCUGGGACGAUGGCCUACAGGCUCCCUGCUUCUGUGGAGACCUACAAGUCUGGGGCAGCCGGAGCCAGGGGUGUAGAAAGCUGAAAACGAACAGGACACAGGACCCUCCAGAUGGCUCUUUUGGGGAAGGUUGAAGGGGAAGGAGAGGACUUCCUUGUAAGGAACAAGGACAAUGGUGGACUGGCCACUGUGCCUAUGCUCUGGCACUCCGUCGCUCACAGUCCUAGUAAGCUCUUGAGACCGGAGCAGCAGCAGAGCGUGUCUUCCCGUGGUACCUGCUCCUUGCCUGUCACCAUGACCUUUGGACAGGCAGGAGACUUCCUAGGAAGGAAAGCAAAGGCCUUUAGAACCUUCUCUGAAUUGUUCCCCAAGAAGAGUGACAGGUCUUCCUAUUGUCACCUUCUGCUUUCUGCUUUUAGGCAGAAGGGGCUGUUGAGCCCCACGUACAUUGGCCAGCUUCCCACUCACCAACUGGUUGGAACAAGUCACUUUGUAAUAAUUAUCCCAUGAUGUCUGAGAAGUCUGUCAGUGUGCCGGUCACAUGCUUUCCAAAGGACUUAAAACUUUAGGAACUGGUUGGACACCUCACCCACCCACCUUCAGUGCACUGUCCUAGGCAUACCUUUAUCCCCACUCCUGGAAUAUUUUCCAUGGUCCACUCCCGCCCCAGACUUAUCCCCCCAUAGCUGGACUUACAUCUCUUAAAAUUGUUUCCAAAUAU
This 801-nucleotide long non-coding RNA is filed under the name Rattus norvegicus (Norway rat). RNAcentral's name for it is "long non-coding RNA NONRATT016602". Lineage: Eukaryota; Metazoa; Chordata; Mammalia; Rodentia; Muridae. The record is from RNAcentral.